AUCUAUUUCGGGGGCUCGGCUGCGUGGCGCCCAGGACUCUCCAGGGUCUCCCAGGAUCGCUCCCCGAAUUCGAGUCGCCCCCUCUCUCUUUCGGGAAUACCAGCUGAUGUCAGUCCGCCAGCCAAAACCAGGGAGGAGAAGCGGGAGCCAGCCCUCUGGAGUCGGGAGAAGAAGGUGCCACAGCUCUUCAGGACCACGGUUGGGAGAAAGAAUGGAGGGGUUUUAGAACCUUCAGUGUGCGACUUCAUGUGCCAGUCUUCAUCUCAGGAUCUCAAGCUCUUGGAUCAUGGGCACGGAUAACCUGUUGUCCUCCUCUAUGGUCAAGAGGCUGCUUUUGCAAAGAAUCCAGUGGGAGAGAGUCAAUGGCCUGCUUGACGUGAACUCCAAAGUCCUCCUGGUAAGGAUCAUUUCUACAAUGAUGCAGAAAAGAGCCAUGCAGUCUCUGAGACAUUUCAGGCUGGGACCAAAUCUAGUCCUUCCUGCCUGCCUAGGAUUGCUCCUUUCAAGAAGGAAGCAUGGGAGAUUUCUGAGUGAUAAGAUGGGAGGAAGGAGCAAGGAGGUGCAGAAAGCAAAACAAGCCAUU
RNAcentral lists this long non-coding RNA (583 nucleotides) under Homo sapiens (human). RNAcentral's name for it is "non-protein coding RAMP2-AS1:21". The record is from RNAcentral. Lineage: Eukaryota; Metazoa; Chordata; Mammalia; Primates; Hominidae.